Molecule: ribosomal RNA, 818 nt
Filed under: Sirolpidium bryopsidis
Lineage: Eukaryota; Oomycota; Peronosporomycetes; Peronosporales; Pontismataceae
Description: SSU rRNA
Rfam family: Eukaryotic small subunit ribosomal RNA
Source: RNAcentral
CAGCCGCGGUAAUUCCAGCUCCAAUAGCGUAUAUUAAAGUUGUUGCAGUUAAAAAGCUCGUAGUUGGAUUUCUGUUUUGAAUUUCCGGUCCGUUCAAUGAAUGUGUACUUGGAAAUUUGAUUCAUUUAUUGUGAGGACCCUUAACUGGCAUUAAGUUGUCUGGUUUUGUGGACUUGCAUCGUUUACUGUGAAAAAAUUAGAGUGUUUAAAGCAGGCGUUCGCUUGAAUACAUUAGCAUGGAAUAAUAAGAUACGACACUGGUGGUCUAUUUUGUUGGUUUGCACACCAGAGUAAUGAUUAAUAGGGACAGUUGGGGGUAUUCGUAUUCCUGUGGAAGAGGUGAAAUUCUUGGAUCACAGGAAGACGAUCUUAGGCGAAAGCAUUUACCAUGGAUGUUUUCAUUAAUCAAGAACGAAAGUUAGGGGAUCGAAGAUGAUUAGAUACCAUCGUAGUCUUAACCAUAAACUAUGCCGACUCGAGAUUAGUGAAUGUUAUUAAAUGACUUCAUUAGCAUCGUAUGAGAAAUCAAAGUCUUUGGGUUCCGGGGGGAGUAUGGUCGCAAGGCUGAAACUUAAAGGAAUUGACGGAAGGGCACCACCAGGAGUGGAGCCUGCGGCUUAAUUUGACUCAACACGGGGAAGCUUACCAGGUCCAGACAUAGUAAGGAUUGACAGAUUGAGAGCUCUUUCUUGAUUCUAUGGGUGGUGGUGCAUGGCCGUUCUUAGUUGGUGGAGUGAUUUGCCUGGUUAAUUCCGUUAACGAACGAGACCUCCGCCUGCUAAAUAGUUUGCGUUACAUUUUUUGUAGCUGUAAACUUC